RNAcentral lists this ribosomal RNA (744 nucleotides) under uncultured marine bacterium. RNAcentral describes it as "bacterial SSU rRNA". It matches the Rfam family "Bacterial small subunit ribosomal RNA", at positions 55 to 847 of the family's 1533-position model. The record is from RNAcentral.
AUGCAAGUCGAACGCAGUAGCAAUACUGAGUGGCAAACGGGUGAGUAUAAUGUGGGAAUCUGCCUUUUGGUUUGGAAUAACACGGGGAAACUUGUGCUAAUACCGAAUAAGCCUUUACAGGGAAAGUUUUAACGCCGAAAGAUGAGCCCGCACUUGAUUAGCUAGUUGGUAAGGUAAAAGCUUACCAAGGCAAUGAUCAAUAGCUGUUCUUAGAGGAAGACCAGCCACAUUGGGACUGAGACACGGCCCAGACUCCUACGGGAGGCAGCAGUGGGGAAUCUUGCACAAUGGGGGAAACCCUGAUGCAGCGAUGCCGCGUGAGUGAAGAAGGCCUUUGGGUUGUAAAACUCUUUCGUCGGGGAAGAAAAUGACUGUACCCGAAUAAGAAGGUCCGGCUAACUUCGUGCCAGCAGCCGCGGUAAUACGAAGGGACCUAGCGUAGUUCGGAAUUACUGGGCUUAAAGAGCUCGUAGGUGGUUAAAAAAGUUGAUGGUGAAAUCCCAAGGCUUAACCUUGGAACUGCCAUCAAAACUUUUUAGCUAGAGUGUGAUAGAGGUAAGUGGAAUUUCUAGUGUAGAGGUGAAAUUCGUAGAUAUUAGAAAGAACACCAAAUGCGAAGGCAACUUACUGGGUCACUACUGACACUGAGGAGCGAAAGCAUGGGUAGCGAAGAGGAUUAGAUACCCUCGUAGUCCAUGCCGUAAACGAUGUGUGCUAGACGUUGGAAAUAUAUUUUUCAGUGUC